AGGCGCGUAGCUCAGUGGUAGAGCAUCACCUUGACAUGGUGGUGGUCGCUGGUUCGAUCCCAGUCGCGCCUACCA
RNAcentral lists this transfer RNA (75 nucleotides) under Gammaproteobacteria bacterium. RNAcentral describes it as "tRNA-Val". It matches the Rfam family "tRNA". From Rfam's summary of the family: Transfer RNA (tRNA) molecules are approximately 80 nucleotides in length. RNAcentral also lists the same sequence under 2 other names. Lineage: Bacteria; Pseudomonadati; Pseudomonadota; Gammaproteobacteria. The record is from RNAcentral.